This 875-nucleotide ribosomal RNA is filed under the name Arthrobacter sp. CNRC10. RNAcentral describes it as "bacterial SSU rRNA". It matches the Rfam family "Bacterial small subunit ribosomal RNA", at positions 103 to 988 of the family's 1533-position model. The record is from RNAcentral. Lineage: Bacteria; Bacillati; Actinomycetota; Actinomycetes; Micrococcales; Micrococcaceae.
CGGGUGAGUAACACGUGAGUAACCUGCCCUUAACUCUGGGAUAAGCCUGGGAAACUGGGUCUAAUACCGGAUAUGACUCCUCAUCGCAUGGUGGGGGGUGGAAAGCUUUAUUGUGGUUUUGGAUGGACUCGCGGCCUAUCAGCUUGUUGGUGAGGUAAUGGCUCACCAAGGCGACGACGGGUAGCCGGCCUGAGAGGGUGACCGGCCACACUGGGACUGAGACACGGCCCAGACUCCUACGGGAGGCAGCAGUGGGGAAUAUUGCACAAUGGGCGCAAGCCUGAUGCAGCGACGCCGCGUGAGGGAUGACGGCCUUCGGGUUGUAAACCUCUUUCAGUAGGGAAGAAGCGAAAGUGACGGUACCUGCAGAAGAAGCGCCGGCUAACUACGUGCCAGCAGCCGCGGUAAUACGUAGGGCGCAAGCGUUAUCCGGAAUUAUUGGGCGUAAAGAGCUCGUAGGCGGUUUGUCGCGUCUGCCGUGAAAGUCCGGGGCUCAACUCCGGAUCUGCGGUGGGUACGGGCAGACUAGAGUGAUGUAGGGGAGACUGGAAUUCCUGGUGUAGCGGUGAAAUGCGCAGAUAUCAGGAGGAACACCGAUGGCGAAGGCAGGUCUCUGGGCAUUAACUGACGCUGAGGAGCGAAAGCAUGGGGAGCGAACAGGAUUAGAUACCCUGGUAGUCCAUGCCGUAAACGUUGGGCACUAGGUGUGGGGGACAUUCCACGUUUUCCGCGCCGUAGCUAACGCAUUAAGUGCCCCGCCUGGGGAGUACGGNCGCAAGGCUNAAACUCAAAGGAAUUGACGGGGGCCCGCACAAGCGGCGGAGCAUGCGGAUUAAUUCGAUGCAACGCGAAGAACCUUACCAAGGCUUGACAUG